ACUGAAAAUUGUUCCACUUUACUGCAGUUUUGCAACGAUGCAGGAAGCAGGCCUGCAUUCUGUGCACAUCUUGUAACCAUACCACCUGAUAUUUUCAGACUGGGGGUGUUGAUUAUUCAGUAGGUCAUGUGAGACCCUCCUGUUUACAAUAGUAAACCAGUGCAGCAUAGUUUUAGAAUGCACUGUGCUCCUAGAAGCAGAGGACCUCAUUCUAGACUCUAUAUGCAGCCCAUGACAAAUGAAUGAAAAGACUCCCACUUACUUCAACAGGCUUUGGGUGGAAGUGGUUAUACACGGGGUAACUCCACUGUCUUCACAGGGUCCCGGUCCCACUGUGGAGGGGGACAGUGUGAGUUUGUUGCAGAGCUACUGCUCGGGGAUGGGGAACCUUCUGGCAUCCCAGCCUCCAAAAUCAUCCAGGCUGCACCUUCUGCAUGACUAUGUGCUAGCUGAGGGGUGCAUAAUAUAGUAAGAGGAGGCCCUGAAACAUAAACCCUUGUAUCAGAGGCCCAGUAUGAAGCCUAAGGCCUGAACUAAAGUAAUGGUCAAGACUUUAACAUAAAGCAAAGUUAAGCUGUGAGCAAGAGGCAGGCCCUGCUCAUAGUCUGGCAAGGAAAGGGCUGAUGUUGCAAAAAUACACAUACCUAAAAGGUACUGGACACUAGAGAUAUAAACAUGUGCCAGGAUAGCACCACAACCACUGAUACUAGUACAUUCCACACAGAUAACAAGGAACAUGCUGACCCAUCCCAAAGACAGGGUCAAAAGGAUAUGAGGGAUAGUGUUGUUUUGUCCAAACCAACAUGUACCAGGUGAGAGGUGGCACCCUAACACAUAGAGGGCUUAUAGAGCCCUCUACGGUUCUUCCUUAGCCUAAGCUAGAACUGCAUCCUUUUGUUCCUGUGGUUGGUUUCUUCCUGUGUUAUAUAAUUGCUCUUUUCUGUAGCUUGCUCUAGAGAGGUUUCGUUUCGUGCCCUGUCAUGCUCUCUGUAUGUGUGUAUAUAUAUCUCCUCAAUAUAUGUUCCAUUCUAUAUGCAUCCGAAGAAGUGGGCUGUAGUCCACGAAAGCUUAUGCUCUAAUAAAUUUGUUAGUCUCUAAGGUG
Chrysemys picta bellii (western painted turtle) is the source of this 1102-nucleotide non-coding RNA. Lineage: Eukaryota; Metazoa; Chordata; Testudines; Emydidae. The record is from RefSeq and is a predicted model, not a curated record.